UGGGGAAUAUUGCACAAUGGGCGCAAGCCUGAUGCAGCCAUGCCGCGUGUGUGAAGAAGGCCUUCGGGUUGUAAAGCACUUUCAGCGAGGAGGAAGGUGGUGAGCUUAAUACGCUCAUCAAUUGACGUUACUCGCAGAAGAAGCACCGGCUAACUCCGUGCCAGCAGCCGCGGUAAUACGGAGGGUGCAAGCGUUAAUCGGAAUUACUGGGCGUAAAGCGCACGCAGGCGGUUUGUUAAGUCAGAUGUGAAAUCCCCGGGCUCAACCUGGGAACUGCAUUUGAAACUGGCAAGCUAGAGUCUCGUAGAGGGGGGUAGAAUUCCAGGUGUAGCGGUGAAAUGCGUAGAGAUCUGGAGGAAUACCGGUGGCGAAGGCGGCCCCCCUGGACGAAGACUGACGCUCAGGUGCGAAAGCGUGGGGCAGCAAACAGGAUUAGAUACCCUGGUAGUCCACGCUGUAAACGAUGUCGAUUUGGAGGUUGUGCCCUUGAGGCGUGGNUUCCGGAGCUAACGCGUUAAAUCGACCGCCUGGGGAGUACGGCCGCAAGGUU
Molecule: ribosomal RNA, 550 nt
Filed under: uncultured bacterium
Lineage: Bacteria
Description: partial 16S ribosomal RNA
Rfam family: Bacterial small subunit ribosomal RNA
Source: RNAcentral